This 1440-nucleotide ribosomal RNA is filed under the name uncultured organism. Its description in RNAcentral is "16S ribosomal RNA". It matches the Rfam family "Bacterial small subunit ribosomal RNA". The record is from RNAcentral.
GAUGAACGCUAGCUACAGGCUUAACACAUGCAAGUCGAGGGGCAUCAGGAAGAAAGCUUGCUUUCUUUGCUGGCGACCGGCGCACGGGUGAGUAACACGUAUCCAACCUGCCCUUUACUCGGGGAUAGCCUUUCGAAAGAAAGAUUAAUACCCGAUGGCAUAAUGAUUCCGCAUGGUUUCAUUAUUAAAGGAUUCCGGUAAAGGAUGGGGAUGCGUUCCAUUAGGUUGUUGGUGAGGUAACGGCUCACCAAGCCUUCGAUGGAUAGGGGUUCUGAGAGGAAGGUCCCCCACAUUGGAACUGAGACACGGUCCAAACUCCUACGGGAGGCAGCAGUGAGGAAUAUUGGUCAAUGGGCGCUAGCCUGAACCAGCCAAGUAGCGUGAAGGAUGAAGGCUCUAUGGGUCGUAAACUUCUUUUAUAUAAGAAUAAAGUGCAGUAUGUAUACUGUUUUGUAUGUAUUAUAUGAAUAAGGAUCGGCUAACUCCGUGCCAGCAGCCGCGGUAAUACGGAGGAUCCGAGCGUUAUCCGGAUUUAUUGGGUUUAAAGGGAGCGUAGGUGGACUGGUAAGUCAGUUGUGAAAGUUUGCGGCUCAACCGUAAAAUUGCAGUUGAUACUGUCAGUCUUGAGUACAGUAGAGGUGGGCGGAAUUCGUGGUGUAGCGGUGAAAUGCUUAGAUAUCACGAAGAACUCCGAUUGCGAAGGCAGCUCACUGGACUGCAACUGACACUGAUGCUCGAAAGUGUGGGUAUCAAACAGGAUUAGAUACCCUGGUAGUCCACACAGUAAACGAUGAAUACUCGCUGUUUGCGAUAUACAGUAAGCGGCCAAGCGAAAGCAUUAAGUAUUCCACCUGGGGAGUACGCCGGCAACGGUGAAACUCAAAGGAAUUGACGGGGGCCCGCACAAGCGGAGGAACAUGUGGUUUAAUUCGAUGAUACGCGAGGAACCUUACCCGGGCUUAAAUUGCAGUGGAAUGAUGUGGAAACAUGUCAGUGAGCAAUCACCGCUGUGAAGGUGCUGCAUGGUUGUCGUCAGCUCGUGCCGUGAGGUGUCGGCUUAAGUGCCAUAGCGAGCGCAACCCUUAUCUUUAGUUACUAACAGGUUAUGCUGAGGACUCUAGAGAGACUGCCGUCGUAAGAUGUGAGGAAGGUGGGGAUGACGUCAAAUCAGCACGGCCCUUACGUCCGGGGCUACACACGUGUUACAAUGGGGGGUACAGAAGGCAGCUAGCGGGUGACCGUAUGCUAAUCCCAAAAGCCUCUCUCAGUUCGGAUCGAAGUCUGCAACCCGACUUCGUGAAGCUGGAUUCGCUAGUAAUCGCGCAUCAGCCACGGCGCGGUGAAUACGUUCCCGGGCCUUGUACACACCGCCCGUCAAGCCAUGGGAGCCGGGGGUACCUGAAGUACGUAACCGCAAGGAUCGUCCUAGGGUAAAACUGG